RNAcentral lists this ribosomal RNA (611 nucleotides) under uncultured bacterium. RNAcentral's name for it is "bacterial SSU rRNA". It matches the Rfam family "Bacterial small subunit ribosomal RNA", at positions 52 to 655 of the family's 1533-position model. The record is from RNAcentral.
CACAUGCAAGUCAGCGGUAACAGGGGGAGCUUGCUCCCCGCUGACGAGCGGCGGACGGGUGAGUAAUGCAUAGGAAACUGCCCAGUAGUGGGGGGUAGCCCGGGGAAACCCGGAUUAAUACCGCAUACGCCCUUUGGGGGAAAGCAGGGGAUCUUCGGACCUUGCGCUAUUGGAUGUGCCUAUGUCGGAUUAGCUAGUUGGUGGGGUAAGAGCCUACCAAGGCGACGAUCCGUAGCUGGUCUGAGAGGAUGAUCAGCCACAUCGGGACUGAGACACGGCCCGAACUCCUACGGGAGGCAGCAGUGGGGAAUAUUGGACAAUGGGGGCAACCCUGAUCCAGCCAUGCCGCGUGUGUGAAGAAGGCUUUCGGGUUGUAAAGCACUUUCGGUGAGGAGGAAAACCUUACGAUUAAUACUCGUGAGGCUUGACGUUACUCACAGAAGAAGCACCGGCUAACUCCGUGCCAGCAGCCGCGGUAAUACGGAGGGUGCAAGCGCUAAUCGGAAUUACUGGGCGUAAAGCGCGCGUAGGUGGUUUGAUAAGCGAGAUGUGAAAGCCCCGGGCUCAACCUGGGAACGGCAUUUCGAACUGUCAGGCUAGAGUAUGGUAGA